RNAcentral lists this long non-coding RNA (325 nucleotides) under Salmo salar (Atlantic salmon). RNAcentral describes it as "lncRNA (ENSSSAG00000113357.1)". The record is from RNAcentral. Lineage: Eukaryota; Metazoa; Chordata; Actinopteri; Salmoniformes; Salmonidae.
GUUAAAUCAGUUUCUGGACCACAGGUUCUAGAACAGCUUCUAUCCCAGUUCUAUCUGCCUGUUAAAUCAGUUUCUGGACCACAGGUUCUAGAACAGCUUCUAUCCCAGUUCUAUCUGCCUGUUAAAUCAGUUUCUGGACCACAGGUUCUAGAACAGCUUCUAUCCCAGUUCUAUCUGCCUGUUAAAUCAGUUUCUGGACCACAGGUUCUAGAACAGCUUCUAUCCCAGUUCUACCUGUUUUUUCAUUUUUGACAAAAUGAGCAGUCCUGGAAGUGACAGAUUUUGACUCAUAUUGAGUGAUAAGACUGAGCUAUUUAGAGAAUCC